This 309-nucleotide long non-coding RNA is filed under the name Rattus norvegicus (Norway rat). Its description in RNAcentral is "long non-coding RNA NONRATT003611". The record is from RNAcentral. Lineage: Eukaryota; Metazoa; Chordata; Mammalia; Rodentia; Muridae.
CUCCUUCUUCCUAUACUCUAGAGCAUACUCCUUUCACGUUAGUGCCGAUGGUCAGAUGCAGCCGGUCCCCUUUCCCCCUGAUGCGCUCAUUGGACCGGGAAUCCCCCGACAUGCCCGACAGAUCAACACCCUUAACCAUGGGGAAGUAGUGUGUGCAGUGACCAUCAGCAACCCCACAAGACACGUGUACACAGGUGGCAAGGGCUGUGUAAAGGUCUGGGACAUCAGCCAUCCUGGCAACAAAAGCCCAGUCUCUCAGCUGGACUGUCUGAACAGGGAUAACUACAUCCGCUCCUGCAGAUUGCUCCC